CCUACGGAGCGCAGCAGUGGGGAAUAUUGGACAAUGGGGGCAACCCUGAUCCAGCCAUGCCGCGUGUGUGAAGAAGGCCCUCGGGUUGUAAAGCACUUUCAGUGAGGAAGAACGCCUGGUGGUUAAUACCCAUCAGGAAAGACAUCACUCACAGAAGAAGCACCGGCUAACUCCGUGCCAGCAGCCGCGGUAAUACGGAGGGUGCGAGCGUUAAUCGGAAUUACUGGGCGUAAAGCGCGCGUAGGUGGCUUGAUAAGCCGGUUGUGAAAGCCCCGGGCUCAACCUGGGAACGGCAUCCGGAACUGUCAAGCUAGAGUGCAGGAGAGGAAGGUAGAAUUCCCGGUGUAGCGGUGAAAUGCGUAGAGAUCGGGAGGAAUACCAGUGGCGAAGGCGGCCUUCUGGACUGACACUGACACUGAGGUGCGAAAGCGUGGGUAGCAAACAGGAUUAGAUACCCCAGUAGUC
This 465-nucleotide ribosomal RNA is filed under the name Vreelandella stevensii. RNAcentral describes it as "partial 16S ribosomal RNA". It matches the Rfam family "Bacterial small subunit ribosomal RNA", at positions 338 to 795 of the family's 1533-position model. Lineage: Bacteria; Pseudomonadati; Pseudomonadota; Gammaproteobacteria; Oceanospirillales; Halomonadaceae. The record is from RNAcentral.